Non-coding RNA from Triticum aestivum (bread wheat), 83 nucleotides. The record is from Rfam. Lineage: Eukaryota; Viridiplantae; Streptophyta; Magnoliopsida; Poales; Poaceae.
GGGAGAAUGGCCGAGCGGUCAAAAGUGACAGACUUUAAAUCUGUUGAAGGUUUUCUACGUUGGUUCGAAUCAUGCCUCUCCGA